Molecule: ribosomal RNA, 348 nt
Filed under: Triticum aestivum (bread wheat)
Lineage: Eukaryota; Viridiplantae; Streptophyta; Magnoliopsida; Poales; Poaceae
Description: partial small subunit ribosomal RNA
Source: RNAcentral
AUGCUGCGUCUCCACCACAAGGCAGCAACAGAGGAGGGCCUUAUCCGCCACCACACAACGGCAGCCAUGAUAAAAGUAGUAGAAGGGGAUGAGGAAGGAGGAGAAAGACCAGAAGAAGGGCAAGGGAGGUGGGGCGAUCUGCAUGUCCAUGGAGCAGUAGGAAAACGACGAGAGGACGAGUACCUCGAUGGCGACGACAACCAGGAGGAUGAACCCACCCACAUGGGCGCCGAUGCUGGCCAUCAAAACGACGACUCUUUGUCCUGCACCACCUCAUGCUACGGCGACUACAUGUUUGGUUUACUUCACGGAAUGGCACAAUGCUACUAUUUAGAUGUUAGAUGUUAG